RNAcentral lists this non-coding RNA (27 nucleotides) under Mus musculus (house mouse). Lineage: Eukaryota; Metazoa; Chordata; Mammalia; Rodentia; Muridae. The record is from RNAcentral.
GGGAGCACAGAACUUAGACAGAUGAUG